This 585-nucleotide ribosomal RNA is filed under the name uncultured bacterium. Its description in RNAcentral is "partial 16S ribosomal RNA". It matches the Rfam family "Bacterial small subunit ribosomal RNA", at positions 355 to 1375 of the family's 1533-position model. The record is from RNAcentral.
UGGGGAAUUUUGGACAAUGGGCGAAAGCCUGAUCCAGCAAUGCCGCGUGUGUGAAGAAGGCCUUCGGGUUGUAAAGCACUUUUGUCCGGAAAGAAAUCCUUGGCUCUAAUACAGUCGGGGGAUGACGGUACCGGAAGAAUAAGCACCGGCUAACUACGUGCCAGCAGCCGCGGUAAUACGUAGGGUGCAAGCGUUAAUCGGAAUUACUGGGCGUAAAGCGUGCGCAGGCGGUUUGCUAAGACCGAUGUGAAAUCCCCGGGCUCAACCUGGGAACUGCAUUGGUGACUGGCAGGCUAGAGUAUGGCAGAGGGGGGUAGAAUUCCACGUGUAGCAGUGAAAUGCGUAGAGAUGUGGAGGAAUACCGAUGGCGAAGGCAGCCCCCUGGGCCAAUACUGACGCUCAUGCACGAAAGCGUGGGGAGCAAACAGGAUUAGAUACCCUGGUAGUCCACGCCCUAAACGAUGUCAACUAGUUAUUGGGGAUUCAUUUCCUUAGUAACGUAGCUAACGCGUGAAGUUGACCGCCUGGGGAGUACGGUCGCAAGAUUAAAACUCAAAGGAAUUGACGGGGUCAUAGCUGUUUCCU